UGAGUAACCUGCCCUUAACUCUGGGAUAAGCCUGGGAAACUGGGUCUAAUACCGGAUAUGACUCCUCAUCGCAUGGUGGGGGGUGGAAAGCUUUAUUGUGGUUUUGGAUGGACUCGCGGCCUAUCAGCUAGUUGGUGUGGGUAAUGGCCCACCAAGGCGACGACGGGUAGCCGGCCUGAGAGGGUGACCGGCCACACUGGGACUGAGGCACGGCCCAGACUCCUACGGGAGGCAG
RNAcentral lists this ribosomal RNA (235 nucleotides) under uncultured bacterium. RNAcentral's name for it is "partial 16S ribosomal RNA". It matches the Rfam family "Bacterial small subunit ribosomal RNA", at positions 118 to 351 of the family's 1533-position model. The record is from RNAcentral.